ACGGGAGGCAGCAGCUAAGAAUAUUCCGCAAUGGACGAAAGUCUGACGGAGCGACGCCGCGUGGAUGAUGAAGGCCGUGAGGUUGUAAAAUCCUUUUGUAAGUGAGGAAUAAGCGCUGUAGGGAAUGACAGCGUGGUGACUGUAGCUUACGAAUAAGCACCGGCUAAUUACGUGCCAGCAGCCGCGGUAACACGUAAGGUGCAAGCGUUGUUCGGAAUUAUUGGGCGUAAAGGGCAUGCAGGCGGUUUGGUAAGUUAGACGUGAAAUCCCGGGGCUUAACCCCGGAACUGCGUUUGAUACUGCUGAACUAGAGUCAGUGAGGGGAGACUAGAAUUCCAGGUGUAGGGGUGAAAUCUGCAGAUAUCUGGAAGAAUACCGGUGGCGAAGGCAGGUCUCUAGCACAUGACUGACGCUCAUAUGCGAAGGUGCGGGGAGCAAACAGGAUUAGAUACCCUGGUA
This 459-nucleotide ribosomal RNA is filed under the name uncultured Treponema sp. Its description in RNAcentral is "partial 16S ribosomal RNA". It matches the Rfam family "Bacterial small subunit ribosomal RNA", at positions 341 to 792 of the family's 1533-position model. The record is from RNAcentral. Lineage: Bacteria; Pseudomonadati; Spirochaetota; Spirochaetia; Treponematales; Treponemataceae.